This 81-nucleotide non-coding RNA is filed under the name unclassified sequences. Its description in RNAcentral is "DUF3800-VII RNA". It matches the Rfam family "DUF3800-VII RNA". The record is from Rfam by way of RNAcentral.
AAAGAACGUCGCCGGACAAUGCGAGGGUUUUUUAACCAGCAUAUUUGUUAUGUGGUAGUCGCACCGGGGGUUCUUUCAUUU